GGACAGAUAUCGAAGUGGUCAUAACGAGGCGGUCUUGAAAACCGUUUGCUGUAAAAGGCACGUGGGUUCGAAUCCCACUCUGUCCG
Molecule: transfer RNA, 86 nt
Filed under: Enterocloster aldenensis
Lineage: Bacteria; Bacillati; Bacillota; Clostridia; Lachnospirales; Lachnospiraceae
Description: [Clostridium] aldenense tRNA-Ser
Rfam family: tRNA
About the family: Transfer RNA (tRNA) molecules are approximately 80 nucleotides in length. Their secondary structure includes four short double-helical elements and three loops (D, anti-codon, and T loops).
Source: RNAcentral